This 3488-nucleotide long non-coding RNA is filed under the name Salmo salar (Atlantic salmon). Its description in RNAcentral is "lncRNA (ENSSSAG00000119864.1, ENSSSAG00000121746.1)". Lineage: Eukaryota; Metazoa; Chordata; Actinopteri; Salmoniformes; Salmonidae. The record is from RNAcentral.
CAAAGCCAGCGGCUGAUAUCAGUCGUGUUUCUGUAUCUGUUUGCUCAGGAGAUGAGAGACCGUGAGAAUCUGCCCGCCACAACGGCAGGUACCUCAGACACCUGAGGCGAAGGCCUUGACAUUUCACCCAGUAGUCCUCCUCUUGUCGUCUCUCAAGACACAGGCAACAAAAGGACAUUCCAAGCACUUGCUUAGGAUGUUCAGUAUCAGUUCUCCUCUUGGGUUCAGAGCAAUUCCAGCAGCAGCGCUCCAUAUCUGACAAAGUCAUUCAUUUUAUAUACCACGGAUGGAAGAUCACACUCUCUCAAUGCCUUUUAAAAACCCCUAGAGCCGAUUGAUGCACCCGUCCAUCACAAGGUGACAUCAUUUUGAAUAUUGAAUAGCUCCCUGUGUUUAUUCUAAUGACUUACCCUUUCUUGUAGUGUUUGGAGCGCAAUCCCCUUUUUCCCCAUAUAAAGUUUGUGCCUAUUCCAUAACAUGGGGCUCGUGAAAGUGAACUUUUCCUGCAUGAGAGCAUCUGGACAAGAAAAUUGUCAAGAAAUCAUCUGUAAAACCCGAACCGUGUGAGCUAUCGAAAGGGGAGACUCUCACAAACAUGACAGUGUCGGUUGUUUGGCUCUACGACAUCGACAAGCUUACAGCCGUCAUCUGAACUCUCUGUUGCGAAUGUACUCAUUUCGAAGAGGUCUUCUCACCAAACCAACUGUCCAGACUGAACCAUGACCUGAGCCCUAGGAUCAUGCCUCAGGACUACCUGGUCUGAGGACUCCUUGCUGUCCCCAGUCCACCUGGUCGUGCUGCUGCCCCAGUUUCAACUGUUCUGCCUCCGGCUAUGGAACCCUGACCUGUUCACCGGACGUGCAACCUUUUCCCAGACCUGCUGUUUUCAACUCUCUAGAGACAACAGGAGCAGUGGAGAUACUCUGAAUGAUCAGCUAUGAAAAGCCAACUGACAUUUACUCCUGAGGUGCUGACCUGUUGCACCCUCUACAACCACUGUGAUUAUUAUUAUUUGACCCUGCUGGUCAUCUAUGAACAUUUGAACAUCUUGGUCAUGUUCUGUUAUAAUCUCCACCCGGCACAGCCAUAAGAGGACUGGCCACCCCUCAUAGUCUGGUUCCUCUCUAGGUUUCUUCCUAGGUUCUGACCUUUCUAGGGAGUUUUUCCUAGCCACCGUGCUUCUACACCUGCAUUGCUUGCUGUUUGGGGUUUUAGGCUGGGUUUCUGUAUAGCACUUUGUGACAUCAGCUGAUGUAAGAUGGGCUUUAUAAAUACAUUUGAUUGACUGAUUGACUGUAUGUUAUGUGGCAAACUCUAAUUACUUACUGAAGAGAGAAAACUUUUAGUAGCCCUUCUGAUACAAGCCUUGCAUUCCAGUUUUUACCUGUUUACCUGUAUUGUAUGACAUUGUAUCACAUUUUCUGCAUGUUUCUGCAUAUGUACCAAGAUGUUCCAAUGCUCCUCAAUCAGAGGAGUUUUUUUUAACUGUGCCUCUUUUCCACUAAGACUUGGAUAGUGGCCAGAACAGAGAAGUGACCCGACUUUAAAGGUCACAGUUCAUUUCACAGCGGCAAGGUAGGGAACUCAGGAUGCCCUCAGGUCAGCAACAUUUGCGUGGUGAUGAUGUCAUAGAGGACAAAGGGUCAGCCAACAGGCCAGUCAUCUGAUAGUGAAGGUGUUAACAGUGACCUCUAACUUGCCGUCGGGCCUCAGAAUGCAUUCCAGCCCUAUACCACAAUAACAUCUAACCCCCAGUGAGUUAAUCUGAGGGCUUUGAUAUAUUACACUCAGGCCCUGAGGACUGUGGACUGUCAAAUAAGAAUGGGAGAAGUAUGCAUGAGUGUGUGUGUGUCCCCCCCCAAAUGGCAGGGCUAUUGGCUAUUGACAAAGACCCGAACUCAUUACAGCAUCAAACGUCAAUGCCUAGCUAUUUUUAGCUAUUGAUUUUGUUUUGAACUAUAUUGCUGUAAAAUCUGAUUGUGGGCUCACUGCAAAAAGUAAAUAGUAGUGUGUUUGAACUUGAUGUUCGGUCAAGUUUUCUUUCUGUUCCCUAGUCCAUUUGUAAUUUAUCUCAUAGGCAUGUUAGGAUUGCAAUCAGAAAAUGUAAUCUGUGCUGUGGUUGAACAGGAAGAAAGACAUAAGCAAAGCUAAUGUUGUGUUGCUGGGCAGAAGAAAGAUAAUGUAUCCCUCUUCCUGAUAUGAGUUCUAUUUAGUUCCUAGGGCCGGUUGGUAGCAGCAGAAAGAGACUUCUAUGGAAAGUUCCACAUUCAAACAUAAAGUCAUCCUAUACAUUUUCCAGCCAAGGUGGGAUGGUGGUGCGUGGAGUGUGUCUCGAUGAGAAAGUUGUGUUGCAUUGGAGUUUAUCCAUGUGUGUGUGUGUGUGUGUGUGUGUGUGUGUGUGUGUGUGUGUGUGUGUGUGUGUGUGUGUGUGUGUGUGUGUGUGUGUGUGUGUGUGUGUGUGUGUGUGUGUGUGUGUGUGUGUCUGUGUCUGUGUCUGGACUCUAUGUGAAUUGAAAUCGUUGCCAUGCUUAUAAGAGCUCAUCUGAGCGUUCAAUAUGGAUAAUUUGAGGGCUCCUAGGAGUGACAGAGUGACUCAGGAGCGAGGAGUGGGAGAGCUGUAAAACAACAGUUACAAAUAGAUGCCCCCAUCAGAGAGAGAGAGAGAGAGAGAGAGAGAGAGAGAGAGAGAGAGAGAGAGAGAGAGAGAGAGAGAGAGAGAGAGAGUGACGGGAGAGAGAUCGAGAGAGAGAGAGAGAGAGAGAGUAAGAGUGACGAGAGAGAGAGAGCGACGGGAGAGAGAGAGAGAGAGAGAAGAGAGAGAAGAGAGAGAGAGAGUAAGAGUGACGGGAGAGAGAGAAGAGAGAGAAGAGAGAGAGAGAGUAAGAGUGACGGGAGAGAGAGAAGAGAGAGAGGCUGGAGGAGAAUGCAAGCUAACUAUGAGGACUACUCAAUGUUGUUCUUCACUCAGUUUGUACAUGGAAAGUAGUAGCCAUAUUCUCAAUAAUGGAACAUUUACACUCCCAUUUUAUAUUUGCUUCUUACCUUGUGCAGGCUACAAACAGGUACACAAUAACCAUUGUAUGUAACAAUGUGUACCCACACUGUUGUUACUAUCUACUUGCUAAUGCAUCUGCUUGGAAAGGGGAUUCAUCACAAACAGAUCCAGCCCAUCAGUUUUGUAGGCAGCAUUGUGUUUGCUAGUAAAGACUGUUGCGCUAGCUAACUAUAACUAUAAAUAAGUGAAUUGUUUACAGAUAUAUUGAGUUAUUAGUGAUGUUGUCAUAGGAUUAGAUGUUGUUAUAGCUGCAAGGUACUUCUCCACACACAACAGGGACAGUACUACAUACAUUUAAAAUAAGAAAAAGAAUAUAGUACUGACAAAACACUGAGAAACAAAGACUUAUGAUCUAGAUUUGUAUACAUAUCAGUUAACAUAAACAUACAAGUUAUUUAGGUCAGAUAGGGGUCAUAUAACCAUCAAGUUAGCC